AUGAUGGGGGGACGAGGGGGCUACAGGCAGAGAUCAGCUCCCAGCCUAGGAUGCAAAAACCACCUAUUCUCCACUUUCUGUGGUGCCCACACCCCCUGCCCUCUUCUUGUUUGGGCUUGCACCAAGAAUGGCAUUCAGGAUUCCUGCAUUCUCUCUCUCUCUCUCUUUUUUUUUUUUUUUUUUAGUGUUUGGAUUGGCUGUUUGCCAAGGCAACUGAAGAGCAUUUCCAAAAAGCAGCCUCAGACAUACGUUUUAGUGCUACCAUUCUGUGGCUCUGUGGAAGAAGUGCUUUCUGAUAAAGUUUGCAAGUCAACUCCAAGGUGAAGUGAAGGGCUCCGGGAUCAGAGAGUGACUUCCCACCUAAUGAGAUGGAAACAAAUAAUUCAACCCAAAGAGGUAAGGCAAUAAGAGCGACCUGGAUUUAUGUCUGUUUCUUCUGCUGUGUCCUUGCUCUGUGACCUUGGACAAAUCACUUAACCUCUCUGAGCCCCCGUUUUCUCAUUUGUAAAAACAGACCUGAGAUGGUUAUGUAAGGUGUUAACAUCGGGGGAAACUGAGUUAUCCUUGCAACUGUUGUGUAAAUCUAGAAUUAUUCCAAAGUUUAAAUUUUUCUUAUUUAAAAAAAAUAGGCAGAAGGGCAAUUACCUUGGGAGACUGUGAAGAUAAAAUGAGAUAAAGAGGUGUGGAAAGCAUGUAGUUCGGUGCUUUUCUUUUGCCCCCCCAGGCAUCUCCCUUCACCUACACCUUCAAACUCGCUGAACACCUGGAGAAUCAGGAGGUAUGUUUUCUGGACUGCAAUGCCAGCAGGUUCACCAGCCUGACAGCACUGUAAUUCAGAGCCUUGCUGCCAAGCCAAAACCCUCCCAGCAAGAAGGUUGGUUUUACAUGGUCCUAGGAUCUAAUAAAUGUGUCACACGUUGCCA
Molecule: long non-coding RNA, 923 nt
Filed under: Bos indicus x Bos taurus (hybrid cattle)
Lineage: Eukaryota; Metazoa; Chordata; Mammalia; Artiodactyla; Bovidae
Description: lncRNA (ENSBIXG00005020197.1)
Source: RNAcentral